This 497-nucleotide ribosomal RNA is filed under the name uncultured bacterium. Its description in RNAcentral is "partial 16S ribosomal RNA". It matches the Rfam family "Bacterial small subunit ribosomal RNA", at positions 28 to 507 of the family's 1533-position model. The record is from RNAcentral.
GAUGAACGCUGGCGGCGUGCCUAAUACAUGCAAGUCGAGCGAACAGACGAGGAGCUUGCUCCUCUGACGUUAGCGGCGGACGGGUGAGUAACACGUGGAUAACCUACCUAUAAGACUGGGAUAACUUCGGGAAACCGGAGCUAAUACCGGGUAAUAUAUUGAACCGCAUGGUUCAAUAGUGAAAGACGGUUUUGCUGUCACUUAUAGAUGGAUCCGCGCCGCAUUAGCUAGUUGGUAAGGUAACGGCUUACCAAGGCAACGAUGCGUAGCCGACCUGAGAGGGUGAUCGGCCAGCCUGGAACUGAGACACGGUCCAGACUCCGACGGGAGGAAGCAGUAGGGAAUCUUCCGCAAUGGGCGAGAGCCUGACGGAGCAACGCCGCGUGAGGGAUGAAGGUCUUCGGAUCGUAAAACUCUGUUAUUAGGGAAGAACAAAUGUGUAAGUAACUAUGCACGUCUUGACGGUACCUAAUCAGAAAGCCACGGCUAACUACGUG